ACGGGGGGGUGCCUAUACAUGCAAGUCGAGCGGAACCGGGGGAGCUUGCUUCCCCAGUUUAGCGGCGGACGGGUGAGUAACACGUGGGCAACCUGCCCUGCAGAUCGGGAUAACUCCGGGAAACCGGUGCUAAUACCGAAUAGUUUUGGGUCCCUCCUGGGACCCAACGGAAAGAUGGUUUCGGCUAUCACUGCAGGAUGGGCCCGCGGCGCAUUAGCUAGUUGGUGGGGUAACGGCCCACCAAGGCGACGAUGCGUAGCCGACCUGAGAGGGUGAUCGGCCACACUGGGACUGAGACACGGCCCAGACUCCUACGGGAGGCAGCAGUAGGGAAUCUUCCGCAAUGGACGCAAGUCUGACGGAGCAACGCCGCGUGAGUGACGAAGGUUUUCGGAUCGUAAAACUCUGUUGUGAGGGAAGAAACCGUACCAACUAACUACUGGUACCUUGACGGUACCUCACCAGAAAGCCACGGCUAACUACGUGCCAGCAGCCGCGGUAAUACGUAGGUGGCAAGCGUUGUCCGGAAUUAUUGGGCGUAAAGCGCGCGCAGGCGGUCCUUUAAGUCUGAUGUGAAAGCCCACGGCUCAACCGUGGAGGGUCAUUGGAAACUGGAGGACUUGAGUGCAGAAGAGGAAAGUGGAAUUCCACGUGUAGCGGUGAAAUGCGUAGAGAUGUGGAGGAACACCAGUGGCGAAGGCGACUUUCUGGUCUGUAACUGACGCUGAGGCGCGAAAGCGUGGGGAGCAAACAGGAUUAGAUACCCUGGUAGUCCACGCCGUAAACGAUGAGUGCUAAGUGUUAGGGGGGUUUCCGCCCCUUAGUGCUGCAGCUAACGCAUUAAGCACUCCGCCUGGGGGAGUACGGGCGGCAGGCUGAAACUCAAAGGAAUUGACGGGGGCCCGCCACAGCGGUGGAGCAUGUGGUUUUAAUCGAAACAACGCGAAGAAACCUUAACAGGUCUUUGAAUCCCGCUGCCCGCCCUAAAGAUAGGGGUUUUCCCUUCGGGGACCACGGUGACAGGGGGUGCAUGGUUGUCGUCAGCUCGUGUCUUGAAAUGUUGGGUUAAACCCCCCAACAGCCCAACCCUUGAUCUAAUUGCCGCAUUCCUUUGGGCCCUCUAAGGGGACUGCCGGUGCCAACCCGAGGAAAAGGGGGGAGGAGGGGAAUUAUCUCCCCCCUUAAAACGGGGGCUCACCCGCUGCUAAAUGGGGGGGGAAAAGGGGGGAGCCCCCCCCCCGAGGGGGGAGACAAACCCCCAAAAAAACCCUUUCUCUCCUCUUUUUUAUGGUGGGGGGUCAUACUUCCCCCCCCCUCCGGAGAAGACCGGAAGAAGAAAAACAUAUAUAAAAAUAGUUAGGAG
Molecule: ribosomal RNA, 1363 nt
Filed under: Planococcus donghaensis
Lineage: Bacteria; Bacillati; Bacillota; Bacilli; Caryophanales; Caryophanaceae
Description: partial 16S ribosomal RNA
Rfam family: Bacterial small subunit ribosomal RNA
Source: RNAcentral